RNAcentral lists this ribosomal RNA (521 nucleotides) under Clostridioides difficile. RNAcentral describes it as "bacterial SSU rRNA". It matches the Rfam family "Bacterial small subunit ribosomal RNA", at positions 1 to 547 of the family's 1533-position model. Lineage: Bacteria; Bacillati; Bacillota; Clostridia; Peptostreptococcales; Peptostreptococcaceae. The record is from RNAcentral.
UUUUAUUUGAGAGUUUGAUCCUGGCUCAGGAUGAACGCUGGCGGCGUGCCUAACACAUGCAAGUUGAGCGAUUUACUUCGGUAAAGAGCGGCGGACGGGUGAGUAACGCGUGGGUAACCUACCCUGUACACACGGAUAACAUACCGAAAGGUAUGCUAAUACGGGAUAAUAUAUUUGAGAGGCAUCUCUUGAAUAUCAAAGGUGAGCCAGUACAGGAUGGACCCGCGUCUGAUUAGCUAGUUGGUAAGGUAACGGCUUACCAAGGCGACGAUCAGUAGCCGACCUGAGAGGGUGAUCGGCCACAUUGGAACUGAGACACGGUCCAAACUCCUACGGGAGGCAGCAGUGGGGAAUAUUGCACGAUGGGCGAAAGCCUGAUGCAGCAACGCCGCGUGAGUGAUGAAGGCCUUCGGGUCGUAAAACUCUGUCCUCAAGGAAGAUAAUGACGGUACUUGAGGAGGAAGCCCCGGCUAACUACGUGCCAGCAGCCGCGGUAAUACGUAGGGGGCUAGCGUUAUCCG